Molecule: ribosomal RNA, 483 nt
Filed under: uncultured bacterium
Lineage: Bacteria
Description: partial 16S ribosomal RNA
Rfam family: Bacterial small subunit ribosomal RNA (bases 53-483)
Source: RNAcentral
GGGGGGGGGGGGGGGGGGGGGGGGGGGGGGGGGGGGGGGGGGGGGGGGGGGGUGGGGGCUGGGUUCGGCGGCGGGCGGGGGGGGAAUGCCUAGGGAGCUGCCUGGUCGUGGGGGAGGACGUCCGGAAAGGGGCGCUAGUGCCGCAUACGUCGUGCGGGAGCACGUGGGGGAGCUUCGGACCCCACGCUAUCAGGUGAGCCUAGGUCGGCUUAGCUAGUUGGUGGGGUAAAGGCCUACCAAGGCGACGAUCCGUACCUGGUCUGAGAGGAUGAUCAGUCACACUGGAACUGAGACACGGUCCAGACUCCUACGGGAGGCAGCAGUGGGGAAUAUUGGACAAUGGGCGAAAGCCUGAUCCAGCCAUGCCGCGUGUGUGAAGAAGGUCUUCGGAUUGUAAAGCACUUUAAGUUGGGAGGAAGGGCAGUAAGUUAAUACCUUGCUGUUUUGACGUUACCAACAGAAUAAGCACCGGCUAACUUCGUG